GGCGGACGGGUGAGUAACGCGUGGGUAACCUGCCUUAUACUGGGGGAUAACAGCCAGAAAUGACUGCUAAUACCGCAUAAGCGCACAGAACCGCAUGGUUCGGUGUGAAAAACUCCGGUGGUAUAAGAUGGACCCGCGUUGGAUUAGCUAGUUGGCAGGGCAACGGCCUACCAAGGCGACGAUCCAUAGCCGGCCUGAGAGGGUGAACGGCCACAUUGGGACUGAGACACGGCCCAGACUCCUACGGGAGGCAGCAUG
Molecule: ribosomal RNA, 258 nt
Filed under: uncultured bacterium
Lineage: Bacteria
Description: partial 16S ribosomal RNA
Rfam family: Bacterial small subunit ribosomal RNA
Source: RNAcentral